UACGUAGGGGGCAAGCGUUAUCCGGAUUUACUGGGUGUAAAGGGAGCGUAGACGGCAUGGCAAGCCAGAUGUGAAAGCCCGGGGCUCAACCCCGGGACUGCAUUUGGAACUGUCAGGCUAGAGUGUCGGGGAGGAAAGCGGAAUUCCUAGUGUAGCGGUGAAAUGCGUAGAUAUUAGGAGGAACACCAGUGGCGAAGGCGGCUUUCUGGACGAUGACUGACGUUGAGGCUCGAAAGCGUGGGGAGCAAACAGG
RNAcentral lists this ribosomal RNA (253 nucleotides) under Mediterraneibacter gnavus ATCC 29149. RNAcentral's name for it is "[Ruminococcus] gnavus ATCC 29149 partial 16S ribosomal RNA". It matches the Rfam family "Bacterial small subunit ribosomal RNA", at positions 524 to 776 of the family's 1533-position model. The record is from RNAcentral. Lineage: Bacteria; Bacillati; Bacillota; Clostridia; Lachnospirales; Lachnospiraceae.